UUCCAUACCGAUGAAGCAAAGGAGUUAAAUUAUUUUAUUCUUAAAAAUUUUCACAGCUUUAAAAUUCAAUGUACUCUAUGAUUCAAUUAUUUUUACUUACUUAUAAUUAAGCUACACAAAUAUUUGUAAAAUUCCCUUUGAGGAUCGAUCUAUCUAUCUAUCUAUCUGUCUAUCUAUCUAUCUAUCUAUCUAUCAUCUUUCUUUGGUGAAAGUUUAAAUGCUGUUUAAUUCAUAUACAAACACACACAUUAAUAUUCACAGUUACAUUUAAUUUGAUUACUUUCUUAGUGUACCGAUAACUUCAAUAUUCUUACUGUAUUUAUAAAGUAUGAUUCAUCUACACUUAGAAGCAAUAUAAUUCUUUAUUUCUAGUCUUUGUUAAUAAUUGAUUUUAGAGCCUCAAAAUAAAUAUAGACUAAUUGUUACCCUCGAAGAUACUUUUUGUUUACUUUAAUCCUUACAAGAAGAUAAAAUUUUCGGAAGCAUGCAUGGUUAUUUCUUUGCUCUCUUUUGAUACAGAGAGCUGAAAUUGAUUUUCAUUUUCUCUCUUAUGUGAAAAGCAACAUUUUGAGUUCAGUUGCUUUUACCUUGAGAAUACCAUCUCAUGUUUUCAGGUCCCUAGGCAAUGGUCAUGGCGUAUUUCCAAAAAGUGAAUCUCUAUAAGUUGUCAGAAAACAUUUCCUGUGGCCUGGUUGCCAUCCCAUCUGGAUGCCAAAAUCUCUUCCACUAUGAAUUGUGGUCUUUGAUCCAGAAAUUGGAAGAAUAGAGUGAAGAACAAUGUGACUUUUCAUCACCUGCAAAUAGCAUAUCCAUUACUCAAACAUGGGUUAUGAAUUUGUAUUUCUUUAUUGCUGUUACAUAUAUGAGAUAAAAACAAAGAAAUGUACAAGAAGAGAAAGAAGUGAAAUGAAACACAAAUAUUCAUUACCUCAGUGGUCACUUUUAUUAUGAUGACAAAAUUGGUAACUUAAAUUUGAAACACUUGGAGCCUGUUUAUAUAGUGAGUUUGUAUGAUGAAAUAUUAUAGAAUCAUUUAAAAAUCAUGUUUAUUAAUACUCAUUGACAUAGAAAAUUUUAUAUGUUGUUAAAUAGAAUACUAAUAUAAAAAUGUUAAGACAUGCAUGCAAUAUUGUCAUAAUCCACAGAGACAGACACACGCACACACACACACUGCAUGUACCAAAACUGUGAAUAGUUUUAAACUUGACUAAUGUGAAAAAAGAGGCAAGUAUUGUUGCAAUAGUGUGAGUGCAACACAAAACAGGAGUUACAGCAAGAAAACAUAUACUCCUCUAAAAACAUCUUUAGAAAACUAUAGCCAAACUCUGAGAAAUGUCCAGCAUUAAUAUAUCCUAUUUUUAUGAUUCUGAGAAAUAAAUAUGGAAAAACUACAUACAGAAUAUUGCUGCCGCUAACUUAUAAAUAUAUGAUCAGAGCUGAAAAUACACCACUUUGUCUUUUCUUUCAACCAGUGACACAGAUUAUUUCUGGCAGAAAAUAGUAAGUGCUGCUCUUUAUUGGAGCCUUUCACUGAAAAUGCACCUCAUGCCUAAUUCAAUUCAACUAGUCAAUUUUUAUUGAAUAUACCGUGUGUUUAGGGUAUAUUCAAUUGUGCAUUUUGGUUAGGCACAUUCAGAGAAGAGGAAACACCCCCGAAGUAUGUUUUGGUGCUAAAAUAUAUAAUAGAGAGAUUUAGUUCUGUGGGACACAGAGAAGGCCAGGACUAUUGUGACCUGUAAUGGUUGGAAAAUAGUUUUGAGGCCCAUGGCAGUGUUUGUCAUAUUUACUGCUGCAUGUCAAGUGCCUGGGACAAUGCUUAGAACCUAAGGGUGCUACUCCAAAGCACCUGCUCUUAAAAAUAGCACAAUAAUGUCCCUAAACACAUCAAGGUUAAUAAGACAUAACAAAAAUAAUGAAUACUAUUACAAAGCAUUCAUUUCUGAGGACUUAUAAAAUUUAAAGCAUUCUAGAUCUUUAUAAAAUCGAAUUCUUCCAUGAAAUAUUCAAUCACCCUAAAUAAAUCCUUUUCAAUCUGAAAUCCAUUUAACUUAUUGAGAGAAACGAGAAAAAUCUUCAGCAUGCUUACCACAAACCCCCCCCCCCCCCACCCCCCCCCACCCCCCACCCAUACCCAUAAUUUUUACACCUGGCAAAUUUAAAAAAUAGUCUCCACAAUUUUCUUCCCACAUUU
RNAcentral lists this long non-coding RNA (2191 nucleotides) under Homo sapiens (human). Its description in RNAcentral is "HSALNT0374332". Lineage: Eukaryota; Metazoa; Chordata; Mammalia; Primates; Hominidae. The record is from RNAcentral.